UCAUAGGGUUGAGUCUCAAUCAUCCAUCCAUCCAGCCUAAAGUUGGCGCGGUCAUUGCUCGGUUUUCUGCGCUUCAUUCGCACAUUUACGUGCUUAGAACCAUCGAGAAAAAAAUUCUUAGAACUGAGCGACAUGUUACCGGGUGCAGCACGUUCCUCUGGAUGUCAAGUGUUCCGCUUCACAGCUGAAAGCCAUAGGUCAAGGCAGCCAACCACAGGAAGAGCUCCUUCUUUGAACCUCUGAUGGCCCCCACACUACGGUGUGACAGACAAAAGCUUCAUGAAAGAAUUAGCAGUGCAAGAUGGGCGAGCUCGUCACCUUUCUCUGGAAUACGCAAUCAGCACUUGUUACUGUAUGGCUUACACAAGCCAUAGCCUUCGCUGCACUGUGUAGGUUAUCUGGUAGUUCAAUACAUUUGUCAUUUCUCUUUC
This is a non-coding RNA of Dermacentor albipictus, 431 nucleotides long. Lineage: Eukaryota; Metazoa; Arthropoda; Arachnida; Ixodida; Ixodidae. The record is from RefSeq and is a predicted model, not a curated record.